AAAAUACUUCCGUCCAUCCGGAAAUACUUGUCGUAGGAAUAGAUCUAUCUAGAUGUAUUUUAGUUCUAGAUACAUCCAUUUGUAUCCAUUUUUGUGACAAAUAAUUCCGGACAGAGGGAGUAGCAU
Molecule: microRNA precursor, 126 nt
Filed under: Hordeum vulgare
Lineage: Eukaryota; Viridiplantae; Streptophyta; Magnoliopsida; Poales; Poaceae
Description: microRNA MIR1122
Rfam family: MIR1120/MIR1122 microRNA precursor family
Source: RNAcentral